CCUGAGGUUGUCAUGACUGUAGGGAGGUCACAGGGAUGGAGAAACUAAGUGAACACAAACCCUAAGCCCACACACCCUGUUUUGAGGCAUGGUUUGUAAAAACUACAUGUCAAAAGUAGAGACUUGGAUGACUCUGGGUGGUGGGUACUUAGAGCCAUUGCAGGGGCUGCACAGUAAGAUAGUGAGGUCUUGGGUUCUGAGACUUAUGGGUCUAUUUUCAGCCUGUCUGUAGAAUGGAGAGUCUGGAGAAGUUAGUGGUGACAAAGAGGACACCUCAAGUGAUGAUCACCUUGGAACAGCACAGCCACCUCACAGCACACCCUUUGAUACCUUGUUGUCCAUUGUUGUGCAUAAAGUGAAAUGGUCUUGGGGUUGUCUUUACUUGUUGGCAUAAUAAAAAGAGAUCCUUGUGCA
RNAcentral lists this long non-coding RNA (414 nucleotides) under Mus spicilegus (steppe mouse). Its description in RNAcentral is "lncRNA (ENSMSIG00000021034.1)". Lineage: Eukaryota; Metazoa; Chordata; Mammalia; Rodentia; Muridae. The record is from RNAcentral.